AUCCAACUGAAGGGUCCCAAAUAGGACGAAACGCAUAUCCUAGAU
This 45-nucleotide non-coding RNA is filed under the name Schistosoma mansoni. Lineage: Eukaryota; Metazoa; Platyhelminthes; Trematoda; Strigeidida; Schistosomatidae. The record is from RNAcentral.